GCCUGGCUGGCUCAGUAAAGCAUGUGACUCUUGAUCUCAGAGUCAUGAGUUCAAGCCCCAUGUUAGGUG
Molecule: transfer RNA, 69 nt
Filed under: Canis lupus familiaris (dog)
Lineage: Eukaryota; Metazoa; Chordata; Mammalia; Carnivora; Canidae
Also listed under: 2 other names
Rfam family: tRNA
About the family: Transfer RNA (tRNA) molecules are approximately 80 nucleotides in length.
Source: Rfam by way of RNAcentral